This 355-nucleotide ribosomal RNA is filed under the name uncultured bacterium. Its description in RNAcentral is "partial 16S ribosomal RNA". It matches the Rfam family "Bacterial small subunit ribosomal RNA", at positions 338 to 710 of the family's 1533-position model. The record is from RNAcentral.
CCUACGGGUGGCAGCAGUGGGGAAUAUUGCACAAUGGGGGAAACCCUGAUCCAGCGAAGCCGCGUGAGUGAAGAAGUAAUUCGUUAUGUAAAGCCCUAUCAGCCGGGAAGAAAAUGACGGUACCUGAGUAAGAAGCCCCGGCUAACUACGAGCCAGCAGCCGCGGUAAUACGUAGGGGGCAAGCGUUAUCCGGAUUUACUGGGUGUAAAGGGGGCGUAGACGGCAGUGCAAGGCUGGAGUGAAAGGCGGGGGCUCAACCCCCGGACUGCUGUGGAAACUGUAAGGAUGGAGUGCAGGAGAGGUAAGCGGAAUGAGUAGUGUAGAGGUGAAAUGAGUAGAUAUCAGGAGGAAAAAA